Molecule: long non-coding RNA, 1877 nt
Organism: Harmonia axyridis
Lineage: Eukaryota; Metazoa; Arthropoda; Insecta; Coleoptera; Coccinellidae
Exons: 3
Source: RefSeq, a predicted model, not a curated record
GAGUUUAGUAGAAUACUUGGGGUAUCUUAAAGGCACAAACACUUCUAGAAGUGUUUAUGAAGAUCGAUGGAACAUAUUGGGUUGAUCGAUGACCGCCCUUCAGACUGAAUAUGCCACUCUGGAAUAAACAUAUUUUUCUUUCAUAAUGAGAUUACCGCCAGUGGGGAAUAUUUUCAAUAAGAAUUAUACCAAUUAGCAUCUUAACCACGGGAAUGGUACGCAAAAAUCUCAAGAAAUAUGAAGAACCUAGGACCAAUAUAAUUUGGAAGGAGUUUUUUUUAAUAGCAAGGAUAGUGCGAAAAUGACUGAGAAACGAUAAUAUGGACCACGAUAACAAGUACCAGAGACGAUCGAGUUCAAUCCUUUUGAUACGUCAAUAUCUCAGAUAAGUGGUUAGUGGGAAUGGAGAAAACCAACUGCGAGGAGUGUUUUCUCCUAAGCUGUUAGGCUGAAAUUUGGUAAUAAAUAAUAAUAUACUGUUAACUGCGUGCAUAAGUUUUGAUUUUAAUAAAAAGUAAAAAAUAUGUUUGAUUCCAGGCAGGAUAACUUUCCCCUUAAUUUUGAUGUUAUAACAUGAAUGUAUGGAUAGAUUUUCUUUGUUUUUCAACUGAAUGAUACAACAGUAUCUAAUUUAAUAUAAAAAGUCAUUAUAAAAAUCUUACCAAGUAUCUGAAAAAGUAUCUCAAGAUAAGUAUCUAAGUUUGUUUGUUUGAAGUAUUUGCAUAUUCAAGCAUCUUACUUUGCAAAAAAUUAUCUUAUCUUGUAUAUAGAUCUCUCGCUAAGUAUCACAGAUCUGCAUGUGAUAUUUGCUUUAUCACAUCAGAAAAGUGUUUAGAAUAAAUAAUGAUGUGGUUAUUAUUUUUAUUAAAAUGAUUGUCCCAAGCAUGCUUUAAUAUAUCCAUGAUAAUAAUGGUUUUUAUUUGGCUUUCUUUACAUUACCAGAAAAAUAUGCUAGGAGAACUUUCUGAUAUUUCCCCAACUUUUUUCAAGUUAAACCACUUCUAAAUUUUCUCCAAUUUCUUUUCGUUUUUGAUACAGGAUUUCGCAGGCCCAUAGAUUGUAUGAUCUCAUUCUCUGCUAAUUCCAUCUCAAAAUCAUUAAUUUCUUGGUCGGACCUGAUGUUGAUAAUUUCUUGUGAAUGUGUAAGAAAACAGUAAAGUCGAUAGUUCAUGAAAUCAGUGAUAUUCAAGAAAAAAACGAAAUUGAAAAAUUAUUCAAUAUUUUUGAAUGUAUAAGCAUUGUUUUGGCAGUCAAAUAUUGCACUAAUAUUAAUAUUGUAAAUUUAUAUUACGAUAUAUUUUCAACUGAAUCUGCUAGGCUGAGUUUGAUAAAAUCUAUCUUAUAUAUGAAUCUUUAUUUCAUUCCCAAAUUGUUUGAAAAUACACAGGGUGUAUCAAAACAGUGUAAAUGGCCAAACAUGUUUUUUCUUAUGGAACAUCCUAUUUUUUAUGAUUUUUCUGAUUGAAUGAAUUAAAUCAAGAUUGUUUCAUAUAUUUAAAACUUACUGUUUCUAAGAUAUUUCGAUUUUUCAUAAAUUGAAGGGUACCCCAUUUGGAAAAAGCCCGAUUUUAAUGUGUGAAUAAGUCGUCAAUGAAUUAUCUCUUCAACACCCAGUAGAGUUAUAAAUAAUUAUCGGAGUUAGUACUUUCUUAGAAGGACUUUGGAAGUAACACGCCUAUAAAAGAUCAGAAAUGAGGAGAUACUUAGAAAAAUGGGAGUGGAAGGAAUGCUAUACUAAGAUAUUGAAGCGAAACAACUGAUCUGGAAUGGGCACUUACAAAGAAUGGGUGACCAGAGACUUCCAAAGAAGGUGCUGGAGUGGAUCCCCACACAACGCUGAAAACGAGGACGACCAAAGAAUACUUGGAAUGAGGGCG